GGGUCUAUAGCUUAAUUGGUAAAGCAGUAAACUUUUAAUUUAUUGAUUUUAGGUUCGAGUCCUAAUAUACCCA
RNAcentral lists this transfer RNA (73 nucleotides) under Lympha mucosa. Its description in RNAcentral is "tRNA-Lys". It matches the Rfam family "tRNA". Rfam says of the family: Transfer RNA (tRNA) molecules are approximately 80 nucleotides in length. Their secondary structure includes four short double-helical elements and three loops (D, anti-codon, and T loops). The record is from RNAcentral. Lineage: Eukaryota; Rhodophyta; Florideophyceae; Batrachospermales; Batrachospermaceae.